Molecule: ribosomal RNA, 298 nt
Filed under: Viviparus viviparus
Lineage: Eukaryota; Metazoa; Mollusca; Gastropoda; Architaenioglossa; Viviparidae
Also listed under: 3 other names
Description: partial small subunit ribosomal RNA
Rfam family: Eukaryotic small subunit ribosomal RNA
Source: RNAcentral
UGAUCCAUUUCUACUUGGAUAACUGUGGUAAUUCUAGAGCUAAUACAUGCCCAACAGCUCCGACCCCGGGCUUCACGGUUCGGGGAAAGAGCGCUUUUAUUAGUUCAAAACCAGUCGGGGGUUUCGGCCCUCGUGCUUUGGUGACUCUGGAUAACUUUGAGCCGAUCGCAUGGCCUCGAGCCGGCGACGCAUCUUUCAAAUGUCUGCCCUAUCAAAUGACGACGGUACGUGAUCUGCCUACCGUGUUGACUACGGGUAGCGGGGAAUCAGGGUUCGAUUCCGGAGAGGGAGCAUGAGA